UCGGUCUCUAUCUGUUGUGGGCGCAGGAAAUUUGCGAGGACCCGACACUAGUACGAGAGGACCGUGUUGGACAGACCUCCGGUGUGCCGGUUGUUCCGCCAGGAGCACCGCCGGGUAGCCGCGUCUGGCAAGGAUAAGUGCUGAAAGCAUCUAAGCACGAAGCCCCCCUCAAGAUAAGAUUUCCACAUAGGGUCGUCAAAGACGAUGACGUCGAUAGGUCGCAGGUGCAGAGGCGGUAACGUCUACAGCCGAGCGAUACUAAUCACCCGAACCCUUUCCGGG
Molecule: ribosomal RNA, 282 nt
Filed under: Muribaculaceae bacterium
Lineage: Bacteria; Pseudomonadati; Bacteroidota; Bacteroidia; Bacteroidales; Muribaculaceae
Description: partial 23S ribosomal RNA
Rfam family: Bacterial large subunit ribosomal RNA
Source: RNAcentral